AUUUACAUUGUGGGCCAUAAGGUCCUUCAUUAUGUUGAAUAUGAUUUACAUUGUGGGCCAUAAGGUCCUUCAUUAUGUUGAAUAUGAUUUACAUUGUGGGCCAUAAGGUCCUUCAUUAUGUUGAAUAUGAUUUACAUUGUGGGCCAUAAGGUCCUUCAUUAUGUUGAAUAUGAUUUACAUUGUGGGCCAUAAGGUCCUUCAUUAUGUUGAAUAUGAUUUACAUUGUGGGCCAUAAGGUCCUUCAUUAUGUUGAAUAUGAUUUACAUUGUGGGCCAUAAGGUCCUUCAUUAUGUUUUUAUGAUUUACAUUGUGGGCCAUAAGGUCCUUCAUUAUGUUGUAUAUGAUUUACAUUGUGGGCCAUAAGGUCCUUCAUUAUGUUGUAUAG
Molecule: long non-coding RNA, 385 nt
Organism: Oncorhynchus keta (chum salmon)
Lineage: Eukaryota; Metazoa; Chordata; Actinopteri; Salmoniformes; Salmonidae
Exons: 3
Source: RefSeq, a predicted model, not a curated record